Molecule: ribosomal RNA, 1373 nt
Filed under: uncultured bacterium
Lineage: Bacteria
Description: bacterial SSU rRNA
Rfam family: Bacterial small subunit ribosomal RNA
Source: RNAcentral
GAUGAACGCUGGCGGCGUGCCUAAUACAUGCAAGUCGAGCGAACGGACGAGAAGCUUGCUUCUCUGAUGUUAGCGGCGGACGGGUGAGUAACACGUGGAUAACCUACCUAUAAGACUGGGAUAACUUCGGGAAACCGGAGCUAAUACCGGAUAAUAUUUUGAACCGCAUGGUUCAAAAGUGAAAGACGGUCUUGCUGUCACUUAUAGAUGGAUCCGCGCUGCAUUAGCUAGUUGGUAAGGUAACGGCUUACCAAGGCAACGAUGCAUAGCCGACCUGAGAGGGUGAUCGGCCACACUGGAACUGAGACACGGUCCAGACUCCUACGGGAGGCAGCAGUAGGGAAUCUUCCGCAAUGGGCGAAAGCCUGACGGAGCAACGCCGCGUGAGUGAUGAAGGUCUUCGGAUCGUAAAACUCUGUUAUUAGGGAAGAACAUAUGUGUAAGUAACUGUGCACAUCUUGACGGUACCUAAUCAGAAAGCCACGGCUAACUACGUGCCAGCAGCCGCGGUAAUACGUAGGUGGCAAGCGUUAUCCGGAAUUAUUGGGCGUAAAGCCGCGCGUAGGCGGUUUUUUAAGUCUGAUGUGAAAGCCCACGGCUCAACCGUGGAGGGUCAUUGGAAACUGGAAAACUUGAGUGCAGAAGAGGAAAGUGGAAUUCCAUGUGUAGCGGUGAAAUGCGCAGAGAUAUGGAGGAACACCAGUGGCGAAGGCGACUUUCUGGUCUGUAACUGACGCUGAUGUGCGAAAGCGUGGGGAUCAAACAGGAUUAGAUACCCUGGUAGUCCACGCCGUAAACGAUGAGUGCUAAGUGUUAGGGGGUUUCCGCCCCUUAGUGCUGCAGCUAACGCAUUAAGCACUCCGCCUGGGGAGUACGACCGCAAGGUUGAAACUCAAAGGAAUUGACGGGGACCCGCACAAGCGGUGGAGCAUGUGGUUUAAUUCGAAGCAACGCGAAGAACCUUACCAAAUCUUGACAUCCUUUGACAACUCUAGAGAUAGAGCCUUCCCCUUCGGGGGACAAAGUGACAGGUGGUGCAUGGUUGUCGUCAGCUCGUGUCGUGAGAUGUUGGGUUAAGUCCCGCAACGAGCGCAACCCUUAAGCUUAGUUGCCAUCAUUAAGUUGGGCACUCUAAGUUGACUGCCGGUGACAAACCGGAGGAAGGUGGGGAUGACGUCAAAUCAUCAUGCCCCUUAUGAUUUGGGCUACACACGUGCUACAAUGGACAAUACAAAGGGCAGCGAAACCGCGAGGUCAAGCAAAUCCCAUAAAGUUGUUCUCAGUUCGGAUUGUAGUCUGCAACUCGACUACAUGAAGCUGGAAUCGCUAGUAAUCGUAGAUCAGCAUGCUACGGUGAAUACGUUCCCGGGUCU